AUACGUAGGGGGCUAGCGUUAUCCGGAUUCACUGGGCUUAAAGGUUCCGUAGGCGGCCUGGUAAGUCAGUGGUGAAAGCCCUCGGCUUAACCGAGGAACUGCCAUUGAUACUGCCAGACUUGAGUGCGGUCGACGGGGGCGGAAUGCAGCAUGUAGCGGUGAAAUGCGUAGAUAUGCUGCAGAACACCAAUUGCGAAGGCAGCUCCCGAGCCCGCUACUGACGCUGAGGGACGAAAGCGUGGGGAGCAAACAGGAUUAGAAACCCGAGUAGUCC
RNAcentral lists this ribosomal RNA (274 nucleotides) under uncultured bacterium. RNAcentral describes it as "partial 16S ribosomal RNA". It matches the Rfam family "Bacterial small subunit ribosomal RNA", at positions 523 to 796 of the family's 1533-position model. The record is from RNAcentral.